RNAcentral lists this ribosomal RNA (492 nucleotides) under uncultured bacterium. Its description in RNAcentral is "bacterial SSU rRNA". It matches the Rfam family "Bacterial small subunit ribosomal RNA", at positions 28 to 534 of the family's 1533-position model. The record is from RNAcentral.
GACGAACGCUGGCGGCGUGCUUAACACAUGCAAGUCGAACGGUGAUGAAGAGCUUGCUCUUUUGAUCAGUGGCGAACGGGUGAGUAACACGUGAGCAACCUACCCUUGACUCUGGGAUAACAGUUGGAAACAGCUGCUAAUACCGGAUAUGAACUCAGCGGGCAUCUGCUGGGUUGGAAAGCUCCGACGGUCAGGGAUGGGCUCGCGGCCUAUCAGCUUGUUGGUGAGGUAAUGGCUCACCAAGGCGACGACGGGUAGCCGGCCUGAGAGGGCGACCGGCCACACUGGGACUGAGAUACGGCCCAGACUCCUACGGGAGGCAGCAGUGGGGAAUAUUGCGCAAUGGGCGAAAGCCUGACGCAGCAACGCCGCGUGCGGGAUGACGGCCUCGGUUGUAACGACGUUCUAGCAGGACGGAAACGUAGACGGUACCGUCGCAGAAGAAGACACCGGACGUACUAACGUGCCACGCAGCCGCGGUAACGUACGUCU